RNAcentral lists this ribosomal RNA (292 nucleotides) under uncultured Acidobacteriota bacterium. RNAcentral's name for it is "uncultured Acidobacteria bacterium partial 16S ribosomal RNA". The record is from RNAcentral. Lineage: Bacteria; Pseudomonadati; Acidobacteriota.
GGACUACUGGGGUUUCUAAUCCUGUUUGCUACCCACGCUUUCGCGCCUCAGCGUCAGAACCGGUCCAGGUAGCCGCCUUCGCCACUGGUGUUCCUCCCAAUAUCUACGCAUUUCACCGCUACACUGGGAAUUCCGCUACCCCCUCCCGGCCUCAAGCCGUACAGUUUCAAAGGCAGUUCCUCAGUUGAGCCGAGGGAUUUCACCUUUGACUUGUACAGCCGCCUACGCGCCCUUUACGCCCAAUAAUUCCGAAUAACGCUCGCCCCCUCCGUAUUACCGCGGCUGCUGGCAC